This 301-nucleotide ribosomal RNA is filed under the name uncultured bacterium. RNAcentral's name for it is "partial 16S ribosomal RNA". It matches the Rfam family "Bacterial small subunit ribosomal RNA", at positions 509 to 807 of the family's 1533-position model. The record is from RNAcentral.
CAGUAGCCGCGGUAAUGCGAAGGGUGCAAGCGUUACUCGGAAUUACUGGGCGUAAAGCGUGCGUAGGUGGUGGUUUAAGUCCGUUGUGAAAGCCCUGGGCUCAACCUGGGAAUUGCAGUGGAUACUGGGUCACUAGAGUGUGGUAGAGGAUAGUGGAAUUUCCGGUGUAGCAGUGAAAUGCGUAGAGAUCGGAAGGAACAUCUGUGGCGAAGGCGACUAUCUGGGCCAACACUGACACUGAGGCACGAAAGCGUGGGGAGCAAACAGGAUUAGAUACCCCGGUAGUCCCUGUCUCUUAUAC